This 396-nucleotide transfer-messenger RNA is filed under the name Spirulinaceae. RNAcentral's name for it is "JAAUTY01 sp012031265 Standard tmRNA". It matches the Rfam family "transfer-messenger RNA". From Rfam's summary of the family: Bacterial tmRNA, also known as 10Sa RNA or SsrA, is named for its dual tRNA and mRNA-like properties. Its role is to liberate the mRNA from a stalled ribosome. Lineage: Bacteria; Bacillati; Cyanobacteriota; Cyanophyceae; Spirulinales. The record is from RNAcentral. RNAcentral also lists the same sequence under 2 other names.
GGGGCCGUAAUGGUUUCGACAGGCUAGCGAACGCCGAACCGUGAUUCAGGUCGAGAGUGAGCCGUCUCUCGUAAAUCCCAGGUUCAAAACAAAAUGUAACUGCGAACAACAUCGUUCCUUUUGCUCGUAAAGCUGCACCUGUUGCUGCCUAAUAAAAACCUCUCAUAGGUUUCGAGCGUCUGUAGUUUGACUCCGUUAAGGGCUACAGACACAACCCCAACGGAUGCUCCUAACUUGUUCCUCUAGCAGCAAGUUGGGCUAAGACUUCGCUAGAGCAUCCCACCGUCAGGGAUAAUCGACGGUUCCCGCCCUGAGGAUCAGAGGGGCUAAACCUGUGAAUGAACGAUAGGUCAAUACCUGGUUUGGACAGCAGUUCGACUCUGCUCGGCUCCAUGC